This 362-nucleotide unclassified non-coding RNA is filed under the name soil metagenome. RNAcentral's name for it is "partial contains 5.8S ribosomal RNA, internal transcribed spacer 2, and large subunit ribosomal RNA". The stretch from base 1 to 120 matches the Rfam family "5.8S ribosomal RNA", at positions 35 to 154 of the family's 154-position model. The record is from RNAcentral.
GAUGAAGAACGUAGCGAAAUGCGAUAAGUAAUGUGAAUUGCAGAAUUCAGUGAAUCAUCGAAUCUUUGAACGCACCUUGCGCUCCUUGGUAUUCCGAGGAGCAUGCCUGUUUGAGUGUCAUUAAUAUAUCAACCUUCUCUUUUUUGAGUUGUUUGGAUGUGGGGGUUUGCUGGCCUCUUAAAUGAUUCAGCUCCCCUGAAAUGCAUUAGCAGAACAACCUGUUCAUUAGCGUGAUAAUUAUCUAUGCUAUUGAAUGUGAGGGCAGUUCAGCUUUCUAACCGUCCUUGGACAAUUCAUCAUUAAUGUGACCUCAAAUCAGGUAGGACUACCCGCUGAACUUAAGCAUAUGAAUAAGCGGAGGA